AAGACUAGAGUGCGGUAGAGGAAAGUGGAAUUCCUAGUGUAGAGGUGAAAUUCGUAGAUAUUAGGAGGAACAUCAGAGGCGAAAGCGACUUUCUGGUCCGUAACUGACACUGAGGCACGAAAGCGUGGGGAGCAAACAGGAUUAGAUACCCUGGUAGUCCACGCCCUAAACGAUGAGUGCUAGACGUCAGCUUUAUAAGUUGGUGUCGCAGCUAACGCAUUAAGCACUCCGCCUGAGGACUACGAUCGCAAGAUUAAAACUUAAAGGAAUUGACGGGGGCCCGCACAAGCGGUGGAGCAUGUGGUUUAAUUCGUCAACACGCGAAGAACCUUACCAGCUCUUGACAUGGGAGUUACCGAUUCUAGAGAUAGAAUCUUCGGUUCGGCCGGACUCCACACAGGUGCUGCAUGGCUGUCGUCAGCUCGUGUCGUGAGAUAUUGGGUUAAGUCCCGCAACGAGCGCAACCCUUGUCCUUAUUU
RNAcentral lists this ribosomal RNA (479 nucleotides) under Holospora elegans. RNAcentral describes it as "bacterial SSU rRNA". It matches the Rfam family "Bacterial small subunit ribosomal RNA", at positions 637 to 1116 of the family's 1533-position model. The record is from RNAcentral. Lineage: Bacteria; Pseudomonadati; Pseudomonadota; Alphaproteobacteria; Holosporales; Holosporaceae.